AAUGAGUAGGUAAAGAAAAAGAGAGAAAUAGAAGGGAAGAAAAUGAGAACAUGAAAAGUGUACAAGAUCCUAGGAGUAGAAGUCUUGUAGCUAUCAUAGGUAUUAUAAAAGUUGGGUCUGCAUCAUGCAAAGGAGAGGGAGAAAAAAAAAGUGAUAGACUUUUUUGUCAUAGUAACACACUCUUAACUCUGUUUCUACUACAAAAUUAACAGAAUGAACUUAAUUAAUACAAAUUAUACCAGAUAUGAAUGAAAUUGAAACUUUUUUUAAGAGGAACUACCAAGUUGAUACAUUAUAGUAAAAUUAUGGUCAAAGUAAGCAAUUAAACCUAAAUUUAAAUUUAGAAUUAUCAUAAUAAUUAUUGAGAGUGACAUUGUAUUGGGAAAAGAAGAAUUAGGAAGUUAUUAUGUUAUCU
Molecule: long non-coding RNA, 415 nt
Filed under: Vigna radiata
Lineage: Eukaryota; Viridiplantae; Streptophyta; Magnoliopsida; Fabales; Fabaceae
Description: long non-coding RNA (VRAD_LNC010530)
Source: RNAcentral